RNAcentral lists this ribosomal RNA (796 nucleotides) under uncultured bacterium. Its description in RNAcentral is "bacterial SSU rRNA". It matches the Rfam family "Bacterial small subunit ribosomal RNA", at positions 8 to 798 of the family's 1533-position model. The record is from RNAcentral.
AGAGUUUGAUCAUGGCUCAGAUUGAAUGCUGGCGGCAGGCUUAACACAUGCAAGUCGAGCGGAGAUGAGGUGCUUGCACCUUAUCUUAGCGGCGGACGGGUGAGUAAUGCUUAGGAAUCUGCCUAUUAGUGGGGGACAACAUUCCGAAAGGAAUGCUAAUACCGCAUACGUCCUACGGGAGAAAGCAGGGGAUCUUCGGACCUUGCGCUAAUAGAUGAGCCUAAGUCGGAUUAGCUAGUUGGUGGGGUAAAGGCCUACCAAGGCGACGAUCUGUAGCGGGUCUGAGAGGAUGAUCCGCCACACUGGGACUGAGACACGGCCCAGACUCCUACGGGAGGCAGCAGUGGGGAAUAUUGGACAAUGGGGGGAACCCUGAUCCAGCCAUGCCGCGUGUGUGAAGAAGGCCUUAUGGUUGUAAAGCACUUUAAGCGAGGAGGAGGCUACUGAGACUAAUACUCUUGGAUAGUGGACGUUACUCGCAGAAUAAGCACCGGCUAACUCUGUGCCAGCAGCCGCGGUAAUACAGAGGGUGCGAGCGUUAAUCGGAUUUACUGGGCGUAAAGCGUGCGUAGGCGGCUUUUUAAGUCGGAUGUGAAAUCCCCGAGCUUAACUUGGGAAUUGCAUUCGAUACUGGGAAGCUAGAGUAUGGGAGAGGAUGGUAGAAUUCCAGGUGUAGCGGUGAAAUGCGUAGAGAUCUGGAGGAAUACCGAUGGCGAAGGCAGCCAUCUGGCCUAAUACUGACGCUGAGGUACGAAAGCAUGGGGAGCAAACAGGAUUAGAUACCCCGGUAGUCCAA